UACGUAGGGGGCGAGCGUUGUCCGGAUUUAUUGGGCGUAAAGAGCGUGUAGGCGGCCAGGUAGGUCUGCUGUGAAAACUCGAGGCUCAACCUCGAGACGUCGGCGGAAACCAUCUGGCUAGAGUCCGGAAGAGGAGAGUGGAAUUCCUGGUAUAGCGGUGAAAUGCGCAGAUAUCAGGAAGAACACCAAUGGCGAAGGCAGCUCUCUGGGACGGUACUGACGCUGAGACGCGAAAGCGUGGGGAGCAAACAGG
This 253-nucleotide ribosomal RNA is filed under the name uncultured bacterium. RNAcentral's name for it is "partial 16S ribosomal RNA". It matches the Rfam family "Bacterial small subunit ribosomal RNA", at positions 524 to 776 of the family's 1533-position model. The record is from RNAcentral.